CCUACGGGAGGCAGCAGUGGGGAAUAUUGCACAAUGGGGGAAACCCUGAUGCAGCGACGCCGCGUGAGUGAAGAAGUAAUUCGUUACGUAAAGCUCUAUCAGCAGGGAAGAAAAUGACGGUACCUGAGUAAGAAGCCCCGGCUAACUACGUGCCAGCAGCCGCGGUAAUACGUAGGGGGCAAGCGUUAUCCGGAUUUACUGGGUGUAAAGGGAGCGUAGACGGCAGUGCAAGUCUGGAGUGAAAGGCGGGGGCUCAACCCCCGGACUGCUCUGGAAACUGUACGGCGGGAGUGCAGGAGAGGGAA
Molecule: ribosomal RNA, 305 nt
Filed under: uncultured bacterium
Lineage: Bacteria
Description: bacterial SSU rRNA
Rfam family: Bacterial small subunit ribosomal RNA
Source: RNAcentral